Non-coding RNA from Potamilus streckersoni, 77 nucleotides. Lineage: Eukaryota; Metazoa; Mollusca; Bivalvia; Unionida; Unionidae. The record is from the annotation of a GenBank genome assembly.
GACCACUUCGAUGGCCUAGUGGUUAGAGCAUCCGCCUCUGAUAUGGUAUGUCACGGGUUCAAACACCGGUCAAGUCA